UACGUAGGGCGCAAGCGUUGUCCGGAAUUAUUGGGCGUAAAGAGCUCGUAGGCGGUUUGUCGCGUCUGCUGUGAAAACCUAAGGCUCAACCUUGGGCUUGCAGUGGGUACGGGCAGACUAGAGUGCGGUAGGGGUGACUGGAAUUCCUGGUGUAGCGGUGAAAUGCGCAGAUAUCAGGAAGAACACCCGUGGCGAAGGCGGCUCUCUGGGACGGUACUGACGCUGAGACGCGAAAGCGUGGGGAGCGAACAGG
RNAcentral lists this ribosomal RNA (253 nucleotides) under uncultured bacterium. Its description in RNAcentral is "partial 16S ribosomal RNA". It matches the Rfam family "Bacterial small subunit ribosomal RNA", at positions 524 to 776 of the family's 1533-position model. The record is from RNAcentral.